RNAcentral lists this ribosomal RNA (223 nucleotides) under uncultured bacterium. Its description in RNAcentral is "partial 16S ribosomal RNA". It matches the Rfam family "Bacterial small subunit ribosomal RNA", at positions 149 to 353 of the family's 1533-position model. The record is from RNAcentral.
GUUGGAAACGACUGCUAAUACCGCAUACGAUCUAAUCUCGGCAUCGAGGAUAGAUGAAAGGUGGCCUCUACAUGUAAGCUAUCACUGAAGGAGGGGGAUUGCGUCUGAUUAGCUAGUUGGAGGGGUAACGGCCCACCAAGGCGAUGAUCAGUAGCCGGUCUGAGAGGAUGAACGGCCACAUUGGGACUGAGACACGGCCCAGACUCCUACGGGAGGCAGCAUG